This 397-nucleotide ribosomal RNA is filed under the name uncultured bacterium. RNAcentral's name for it is "partial 16S ribosomal RNA". It matches the Rfam family "Bacterial small subunit ribosomal RNA", at positions 523 to 918 of the family's 1533-position model. The record is from RNAcentral.
AUACGUAGGGGGCGAGCGUUGUCCGGAAUGAUUGGGCGUAAAGGGCGCGUAGGCGGCCCGGUAAGUCUGGAGUGAAAGUCCUGUUUUUAAGAUGGGAAUUGCUUUGGAUACUGUCGGGCUUGAGUGCAGGAGAGGUAAGUGGAAUUCCCAGUGUAGCGGUGAAAUGCGUAGAGAUUGGGAGGAACACCAGUGGCGAAGGCGAAUUACUGGACUGUAACUGACGCUGAGGCGCGAAAGUGUGGGGAGCAAACAGGAUUAGAUACCCUGGUAGUCCACACUGUAAACGAUGAAUGCUAGGUGUAGGGGGUAUCGACCCCUUCUGUGCCGCAGUCAACACAAUAAGCAUUCCGCCUGGGGAGUACGGCCGCAAGGUUGAAACUCAAAGGAAUUGGCGGGG